AACGAACGCUGGCGGCAUGCCUAACACAUGCAAGUCGAACGAGACCUUCGGGUCUAGUGGCGCACGGGUGCGUAACGCGUGGGAACCUGCCUUUAGGUUCGGAAUAACUCAGAGAAAUUUGAGCUAAUACCGGAUAAUGUCUUCGGACCAAAGAUUUAUCGCCUUUAGAUGGGCCCGCGUUGGAUUAGCUAGUUGGUGGGGUAAAGGCCUACCAAGGCGACGAUCCAUAGCUGGUCUGAGAGGAUGAUCAGCCACACUGGGACUGAGACACGGCCCAGACUCCUACGGGAGGCAGCAGUGGGGAAUAUUGGACAAUGGGCGAAAGCCUGAUCCAGCAAUGCCGCGUGAGUGAUGAAGGCCUUAGGGUUGUAAAGCUCUUUUACCCGAGAUGAUAAUGACAGUAUCGGGAGAAUAAGCUCCGGCGUAAACUCCGUGCCAGCAGCCGCGGUAAAGUGACUACUG
This 462-nucleotide ribosomal RNA is filed under the name uncultured bacterium. Its description in RNAcentral is "bacterial SSU rRNA". It matches the Rfam family "Bacterial small subunit ribosomal RNA", at positions 29 to 534 of the family's 1533-position model. The record is from RNAcentral.